This is a non-coding RNA of Oncorhynchus mykiss (rainbow trout), 876 nucleotides long. NCBI's taxonomy places the organism in Eukaryota, Metazoa, Chordata, Actinopteri, Salmoniformes, Salmonidae. The record is from RefSeq and is a predicted model, not a curated record.
GACGCCCCGCCGACUCCCAUUCCUUCACCAGUCUCGACAGGAGGUCAAAUGGCGUCCACUCACUGUCUUCUGUGUACUGAGCUGUUAGACUGGGUUUAUAACAUGCUGUGGGGAAGAGACAAAAACCAACCAACAAUUGUGAUAGGGCCUCAGAUCCUCAAGUUCUACAGUUGCACCAGAGAGCAUAUUGACUCGCUACAUCACCACUUUGUAUGGCAAAUGCACCGCCCUCGACCGCAAAGCACUACAGAGGGUGGUGCAGACGGCCCAGUACAUCACUGGGGCCGAGCUCCCUGAAAUCCAGGACCUCUUUAUCAGGUGGUGUCAGAGGAAAGCACGAAAAAUUGCCAAAGACUUCAGGCACCCAAGCCAAAGACUGUUCACUCUGCUACCGUCCGGCAAAUGGUUCCGGAGCAUCGGCUCUCGGACCAACAGGCUCCGAGACAGCUUCUACCCCCAAGCCACAAGACAGCUAAACAGCCAUAAGACUGCUAAAUAGUUAAUUGAAUGGUUAGAAGGACUCUACGUUGACCCUAUCUUGCAAUGACUAUGCACAGUCACAAGACUAUAUAUACGCACCGACACAACACACUCAUCAUAUGCAGCUGCUACUCUGUUCUUUAUUCUUACUCUUAUUAUUAUCUAUCCUGAUACCUAAUCACUUUAUCCUGCCUUUAUUUACAUAUCUACCUCAAAUCCCUCUCGCACAUUGAUCUGCUAUUCAUACUCUCUGUAUACAUCUUCAUGGUUGUGUAUUCUAUUCCUCAUGUAUUUUACUCUGUAUAGUUGGGAAUGGCUAGUAAGCAAGCAUUUCACGUCAGUCUACAACAGUUGCAUUUGCCACGUGACAAAUUAAAUCUGAUGGUCCAGCACCCU